Molecule: non-coding RNA, 98 nt
Organism: Microdochium trichocladiopsis
Lineage: Eukaryota; Fungi; Ascomycota; Sordariomycetes; Xylariales; Microdochiaceae
Source: the annotation of a RefSeq genome assembly
GCGGGGAUAGCUCAGUUGGGAGAGCGUCAGACUGAAGCCACCACUUCGGUUCUAUCAAUAUCAUCUGAAGGUCGUGCGUUCGAUCCGCACUCACCGCA